Molecule: ribosomal RNA, 584 nt
Filed under: Hansenula anomala
Lineage: Eukaryota; Fungi; Ascomycota; Saccharomycetes; Phaffomycetales; Wickerhamomycetaceae
Description: eukaryotic LSU rRNA
Rfam family: Eukaryotic large subunit ribosomal RNA
Source: RNAcentral
CCAAACGGAGGAAAAGAAACCAACAGGGAUUGCCUCAGUAACGGCGAGUGAAGCGGCAAAAGCUCAAAUUUGAAAUCUAGCACCUUCGGUGUUCGAGUUGUAAUUUGAAGAUGGUAACCUUGGGUUUGGCUCUUGUCUAUGUUCCUUGGAACAGGACGUCAUAGAGGGUGAGAAUCCCGUCUGAUGAGAUGCCCAUUCCUAUGUAAGGUGCUAUCGAAGAGUCGAGUUGUUUGGGAAUGCAGCUCUAAGUGGGUGGUAAAUUCCAUCUAAAGCUAAAUAUUGGCGAGAGACCGAUAGCGAACAAGUACAGUGAUGGAAAGAUGAAAAGAACUUUGAAAAGAGAGUGAAAAAGUACGUGAAAUUGUUGAAAGGGAAGGGCAUUAGAUCAGACUUGGUGUUUUACGAUUAUCUUCUCUUCUUGAGUUGUGCACUCGUAUUUCACUGGGCCAGCAUCGAUUCGGAUGGCAAGAUAAUGGCAGUUGAAUGUGGCUUCACUUCGGUGGAGUGUUAUAGCUUCUGCUGAUAUUGCCUGUCUGGAUCGAGGGCUGCGUCUUUGACUAGGAUGCUGGCGUAAUUCGAGCCUG